RNAcentral lists this ribosomal RNA (272 nucleotides) under uncultured bacterium. RNAcentral describes it as "partial 16S ribosomal RNA". It matches the Rfam family "Bacterial small subunit ribosomal RNA", at positions 524 to 794 of the family's 1533-position model. The record is from RNAcentral.
UUCAGAGGUGGCGAGCGUUGUUCGGAUUGACUGGGUGUAAAGGGUGCGUAGGCGGUCUGGAAAGUUGGGUGUGAAAUCCUACAGCUUAACUGUAGAACUGCACUCAAAACUACCUGACUCGAGUGCGAGAGAGGUGAAGGGAAUUCCCGGUGUAAGGGUGAAAUCUGUAGAGAUCGGGAGGAACACCAGUAGCGAAGGCGCUUCACUGGCUCGCAACUGACGCUGAGUGCACGAAAGCGUGGGGAGCAAACGGGAUUAGAAACCCGGGUAGU